GUGGGGAAUAUUCCGCAAUGGACGAAAGUCUGACGGAGCAACGCCGCGUGAGUGAUGAAGGUUUUCGGACUGUAAAGCUCUGUUGUUUAGGACGAAAGUGCCUGUUGCGAAUAGUUACAGGUAUUGACGGUACUGAACGAGGAAGCCACGGCUAACUACGUGCCAGCAGCCGCGGUAAUACGUAGGUGGCAAGCGUUGGCCGGAAUUAUUGGGCGUAAAGAGCAUGUAGGCGGGAAUCUAAGUCUGUUGUGAAAAUGCGGGGCUCAACCCCGUAUUGCGAUGGAAACUGGGUUUCUUGAGUGCAGGAGAGGAAAGGGGAAUUCCCAGUGUAGCGGUGAAAUGCGUAGAUAUUGGGAGGAACACCAGUGGCGAAGGCGCCUUUCUGGACUGUGUCUGACGCUGAGAUGCGAAAGCCAGGGUAGCGAACGGGAUUAGAAACCCCAGUAGUCC
Molecule: ribosomal RNA, 450 nt
Filed under: uncultured bacterium
Lineage: Bacteria
Description: partial 16S ribosomal RNA
Rfam family: Bacterial small subunit ribosomal RNA
Source: RNAcentral